Molecule: transfer RNA, 84 nt
Filed under: Echinostoma caproni
Lineage: Eukaryota; Metazoa; Platyhelminthes; Trematoda; Plagiorchiida; Echinostomatidae
Rfam family: tRNA
About the family: Transfer RNA (tRNA) molecules are approximately 80 nucleotides in length.
Source: Rfam by way of RNAcentral
GGCCUCGUAGCUCAGCUGGUAUAGCGUGCGUCGUACAAAAGCGUAGGCGGCGUCCAUGGGCGGGUUCGAAUCCCUCCGAGGCUA